CUAGGUUCGCUCAUUUUUAAUAUCUAAAAUCUGUCUAAAACUAUCGUAUUAAUUCAAUGAAAAAAAAAAUUUUAGAAAAAUAUUUAUCGAGAUGCAUUAUUGCAUCCAUGAAUUUUAAAUUAUCCCGGGAAGAUGCAUAAGCCACAUUCUCAAUUGAAAAGAAUAUUUUAAAUUAUGCCUAAAUUUUUUCUAAACGUAAAAACAUUAAUUUAUCUUUUUGUAAAAAUUAGUAACGAUUUAUUUAGUCAAAAGGCUAUUUAACUUUAACAAAAUUUUAAGCAAAAAUCAAUUUUAGGCAAUUAAUUCGACAAAUAAUUAAAUUUUAAGAUAAUAAAAUAAUAAAAUAAAUAAAAUAAAAAUAUAAAUAAAAUUAUCUCUUAAUUUUAAAAGCAAAUAUCCAUUUUUUAUUUAUACAUAUAUAUUUUAAUAGAUCUGUAGAUAAAAGAAAAGUAUAUGCGUCUUUGAGGUUGUAGACCAGAGAGGGGGAAAGCGACAACCAUGACCGGCUGUCUCGCCGGCAUCGGUGGAGAGGAUAAGGGGAUUCGGCUAGUAGCGAGUCCGGUGAGAUCCGACCAAAAUUAACCCGAAAAUGGGCUGCCGGGUCACCGGAAAAAGGAGAAAAUAGGACGCAGUGAGAGUAGGGGAUUUUUGCCGGCGGUGGUUGUUAGUUCGCCAUAGCAGGUCGUUUCCCAUGGAUUUUCGUGAUAGGGGGUCGGAUCCGGUGUGGUUUUUCCGGUUUCCCGGUGAUUUGGUGAUGGCCGGAAUGGCACGUGUGCCCGGUUAGCCGGAUUUUGGAUUAUUUUGAUGUGUUGGCACUGAUUUGACCGGAGUUCAAAGUGGGUAACAUUUCCCAGCGAGGAAGUGCCAUUUCCGGUGAAAAUAUCGCCGGAACAAUGGGAUUUGCGAUUUGCCUUUCUCCCUUUUUCUGUCUAUUUUUUUUGCCAGCCUCGCGAUGAGUGUGCGCGUGUGUGAUGUUCUUUGCGUCUAUGUAUUUUUUUAAAUCGGGCAUGCUCAGCCUGUGUAUGUAAAUUGAUGGAGAAGAUGAAGGGGUUGAUAUAGUGUUGUUGUGCAAAAUAGUGUAUGUUGCAGUAUGUGUGUGCAGUGUAUGUUUCCGGUGAAUAUAAAUAUGCAGAUAACAGUGUGAAAUUGUAACAUGCCCAUUUUUUUCUCUCUAUUCCGAUUUUAACUUAGGAGUAUAUGCAUAAACACUUAGUAAUUUAAUAUACAACACAUAAUAAUAUUUACAUUCACCUAAUACACCAAUAACACAUUAUGAAUAAUAUAUGAAAAUUACUUAAGCAAUUUUAUUCAUAUUUUUUAUUUGUAAUAGUGUUUAUGCAAUAAAUUACGUAGAAUCAAAAUGAAACAUGUGUUAAGUUGAACAAGUUGAACAGAAAUACGAAGUUGUCACCGAAAUUUUCAAGUAAAAUAUUGAAAUUUUGAAUUUUCACUCUUUCUUUGAUUUUUGCUUGCUGAUUUUUCACUCUCUUUGUUAGAUAUACUCAGUGUAGAAUAUUAUGUUCUCACAGGUGACAAAAGAGUUUUAAAAUGAGGUGUAGGUGACAUAAGUUUUAAUUAUUAGUUGGAGGUGACAAUUACUUUAUUAUCUAUUAAGAAAGUUGGGAAAGUUUUAAAAUAAUCCACAAGUUUUUAAAUUUAUACUUUGAUCCUAAUGUAUACCUAAAAUAACGGGAAACAGAGGGAAAAAAAAGGCAUCUUUCUCUUCUCAUCCAUUGUUGUUUUCU
RNAcentral lists this long non-coding RNA (1745 nucleotides) under Capsicum annuum. Its description in RNAcentral is "long non-coding RNA (CANN_LNC013626)". Lineage: Eukaryota; Viridiplantae; Streptophyta; Magnoliopsida; Solanales; Solanaceae. The record is from RNAcentral.